Molecule: unclassified non-coding RNA, 2373 nt
Filed under: Dermacentor andersoni
Lineage: Eukaryota; Metazoa; Arthropoda; Arachnida; Ixodida; Ixodidae
Description: gastrula zinc finger protein XlCGF49.1-like
Source: RNAcentral
AUAAAAACAUUACUUGGCUGCAGCAUGUACAAACGCUGCAGUCAACAUUUUCUCACUUCUGGAUUUUUCUCAAAUCAAAAUUUUUUUCUUUGUGAAAACAUGUGUCAGUUUUACAAACUUUAUCAUUGAGCACUCAUAGACACCCCACAACAUGGGUUCUGAAAAGGGCCAUCUGCAACACAACUGCUGAAAUCCAUCCACGACAUUGCAGCCAUAUUAGACAAGCAAGGCCAAAUUGACAUGAUCUUUUUAGACAUUGAAAAAGGUUUUGACCACAUGUCCCAUUCAAAGCUUUUAAUUAAACAUAAGCCUACACUAAAAAACACUUUACUCAGGUAGAUUGAAGCUUACCUUUCCUUUCUAAAACAAAGGGUUACUGUUGAUGGUGCUAGCUCUGAUUCACAGUAAGUGGUGUCAGGCAUCUCACAGGAAUCAAUGACACCACUUUUUUUCGUAAUUUUCAUUAAGGACAUUGCGCUAAGCAUUCCAGGAAACAUAAGGUCAUUUACAGACGACUGCAUCUUGCAGGUAUAUCGUGAAUUUCAUAGCCACCGUAACAAGGACCUCUUAAAUUUGGCAUUAUUAAAAAUAUGUUCCUGGUGCACAACAAUGCGAAUGAAAGUAAAUUAUGAAAAAUCAAUGGGCUUUGACUAUAAUGCGCAAAUGGCUUCCCCUUCAAUAUGUCUACACAUGACCAUAAACUCUCUUUUGCAAUGUCUUUUAAGUAUUUAGGUGUUAUAUUCAGCUCAGAUUUUAAAUAGAACAAACAUGUCUCCUACGUUGAAAAGAAAGCCUUACUGCAAUUGGGCAUCUUAAGAAUGUCUCUGAGAAGGUCCACACCAGGAAUAAGGUUACUUUUCUAAAAAACAUUUAUUUACCACAUCCUCGAAUUACUUCAGUGGUUUGAGAUUCCCGUCAUCGAAGUAACAUAAGAAAACUUGAAAGCAUCCAAAGAAAGGCAAUGAAGUUUGCAUACAAUUUGCAUAGCUGUCACAUUUUACUGAGCACUUAUUUAAAACAGGCAAAUAUUGAGUUAUUACAGAGACGGCAACAUAAUGACAGAGUCAAAUACAUGUUUUUUAUUACCAUGGGAAGCUAGGCAUUGACAAAGGCACUUUUCAUCAAUCACACAGCGCUCCACACGCUCCCAGCAUUGAAAGGAACUGAGGGAAUACGCUAGUAAAAAGAAUGCAUUCAAAAACUCAUUCUUCCUGGGCACUGUUACAGAAUAGAAUCUUCUGCGUGCAAAAACAGUUGCGCGUAUAGACAUGCAGCCAUUCAUAUCCACACUUAGGGGGCAAUCUUAACAGCGCACAUUUUCUUUUUUUGUACUAUUAUCUCGUUUCAGGCAUUGGCCACUAUUUUCAGCCGAUACUGAUUGCCAUUUUUCUUGCAGUUCACUGUUAUUGCUCAAAUGUACAGGCAGUUAUUUUCAUUACUAUUUUUUUUAAUUGUGUGUUUUUCCGUUGUUAUAGAUGUAUAGGAUCCACUGUUUUCUGUCCACAUGAUACACUCUUUCAUGCCUUACUUUACAUUAAGUGUAUUGUUUUACAUUAAUUUUGUUUUCUCACUGUAAUGUGUUUGGCGCUCUUUGGCCAGAGGUGGCCCUUGCACCAUAAAUACUCAUUAAUCAAUUUCCUGCUUAUGGCCACAUGAGGGCUAGCAGUACUUCUGAAAUAAAUGAAUAAAUAAAUAAGUAGAUAAAUAAAUAAGUAAAUAAACAAAUAAAUCAGAUUAUUUACCAAAUGACAAAAGUAGGCCAGCCAUGCUUUUAUUUAUUAUCUCACCUGAAAUCUUCCUCAAGACCACUUGAAAAAAAAAUAAAGAAAUAAUCAUUGGCAUUAUUAUCUAUGUUCUCUUAUUUCUUUUGCAUUUUGUAAUUGUAGUUUGGUUUUUAUUGUUUCAUUGUGCAGGACCAAGUCAUUAUUCCUCUCCAACAACUGCCGAGGAUGAGUAGUCACAGCAAGGACACCUCCACCACUGAUCAAGUCAUUCUUCCUCUCCAACAACUGCCGAGGAUGACAAGUCACAGCAAGGACGCUUCCACCACUGUGAUUUCUGUGACUAUGAAACUAAAAGAUUGUUUGAUCUGAAAAAACAUAACAGGGUCCACACAGAUAACACCUGUACUGUGGCUUCCACCCAAUAUUUAUCUGUAGAAUUGUAUUGGCUUCUAACUCUGAAAAAAUAUUAACUGCCAAAGAAAAUAUAGGAGCUAGAAGUAAAGAUUAGCAACAUGGCUUUUGGUUUUCAUCACGGAUAUUCCACAGAGCUGGCCCUGAUCCAUCUUCAUCAUCAGCAGCAGCAGCCUGUUUUAUGUCCACUGCAGGACGAAGGCUUACUGACCAAAUAAAAAAAUUAAUUGACGAAGGA